This 274-nucleotide ribosomal RNA is filed under the name uncultured bacterium. RNAcentral describes it as "partial 16S ribosomal RNA". It matches the Rfam family "Bacterial small subunit ribosomal RNA", at positions 523 to 796 of the family's 1533-position model. The record is from RNAcentral.
AUACGGAGGGGGCUAGCGUUGUUCGGAAUUACUGGGCGUAAAGCGCACGUAGGCGGAUUAAAAAGUUAGAGGUGAAAUCCCAGGGCUUAACCCUGGAACUGCCUUUAAAACUAGUAGUCUAGAGUUCGAGAGAGGUGAGUGGAAUUCCAAGUGUAGGGGUGAAAUUCGUAGAUAUUUGGAGGAACACCAGUGGCGAAGGCGGCUCACUGGCUCGAUACUGACGCUGAGGUGCGAAAGCGUGGGGAGCAAACAGGAUUAGAAACCCCAGUAGUCC